RNAcentral lists this small nuclear RNA (120 nucleotides) under Helobdella robusta. Its description in RNAcentral is "U5 spliceosomal RNA". It matches the Rfam family "U5 spliceosomal RNA". Rfam says of the family: U5 RNA is a component of both types of known spliceosome. The precise function of this molecule is unknown, though it is known that the 5' loop is required for splice site selection and p220 binding, and that both the 3' stem-loop and the Sm site are important for Sm protein binding and cap methylation. The record is from Rfam by way of RNAcentral. Lineage: Eukaryota; Metazoa; Annelida; Clitellata; Rhynchobdellida; Glossiphoniidae.
UAACUCUGGUUUCUCUUCAUUCCACGCAUAAAUCUUUCGCCUUUUACUAAAGAUUUCCGUGGGGAGGAACAUUACAAUGAGUGUUUAUUGAAUUUGUUUGCACCCCUUCAACAAGGGGUA